Transfer RNA from Camelus ferus (Wild Bactrian camel), 72 nucleotides. It matches the Rfam family "tRNA". Rfam says of the family: Transfer RNA (tRNA) molecules are approximately 80 nucleotides in length. Their secondary structure includes four short double-helical elements and three loops (D, anti-codon, and T loops). The record is from Rfam. Lineage: Eukaryota; Metazoa; Chordata; Mammalia; Artiodactyla; Camelidae.
GAGGGUAUAUCUCAGUGGUGGAGUGAAUGCUUAGCGUGCCUGAGGUCCUGGGUUCAAUUCCCAGGACCUCCA